GCCGGGCAUGGUGGCGCAUGCCUGUAAUCCCAGUUCUUGGGAGGCUGAGACAGGAGGAUCACUGUGAGUUCGAGACCAGCCUGGGCUAUAUAGUGAGUUCCAGGUCAGCCUCAACUACAUAGUGAGACCCUGUCUCAA
This 138-nucleotide non-coding RNA is filed under the name Fukomys damarensis (Damara mole-rat). The record is from Rfam by way of RNAcentral. Lineage: Eukaryota; Metazoa; Chordata; Mammalia; Rodentia; Bathyergidae.